This 590-nucleotide ribosomal RNA is filed under the name Vibrio parahaemolyticus. Its description in RNAcentral is "partial 23S ribosomal RNA". It matches the Rfam family "Bacterial large subunit ribosomal RNA", at positions 996 to 1589 of the family's 2925-position model. Lineage: Bacteria; Pseudomonadati; Pseudomonadota; Gammaproteobacteria; Vibrionales; Vibrionaceae. The record is from RNAcentral.
UGCUAACGUCCGUCGUGGAGAGGGAAACAACCCAGACCGCCAGCUAAGGUCCCAAAUUACUACUAAGUGGGAAACGAUGUGGGAAGGCUCAGACAGCCAGGAUGUUGGCUUAGAAGCAGCCAUCAUUAAAGAAAGCGUAAUAGCUCACUGGUCGAGUCGGCCUGCGCGGAAGAUGUAACGGGGCUAAGUAGUAAACCGAAGCUGCGGCAAUGUGCUUUUGCACAUUGGGUAGGGGAGCGUUCUGUAAGCGGUUGAAGGUGUGUGGUAACGCAUGCUGGACGUAUCAGAAGUGCGAAUGCUGACAUGAGUAACGAUAAAGGGGGUGAAAAACCUCCUCGCCGGAAGACCAAGGGUUCCUGUCCAACGUUAAUCGGGGCAGGGUAAGUCGACCCCUAAGGCGAGGCCGAAAGGCGUAGUCGAUGGGAAACGGGUUAAUAUUCCCGUACUUCUUACAAUUGCGAUGGGGGGGACGGAGAAGGCUAGGUGGGCCUGGCGACGGUUGUCCAGGUUCAAGUGCGUAGGCUUGAGAGUUAGGUAAAUCCGGCUCUUUUUAAGGCUGAGACACGACGUCGAGCACCUACGGGUGUGAA